GCUCGAAAGAGAACCGGCGCACAGGUGCUGCAUGGCUGUCGUCAGCUCGUGUCGUGAGAUGUUGGGUUAAGUCCCGCAACGAGCGCAACCCUUGUCCUUAGUUGCUACGCAAGAGCACUCUAAGGAGACUGCCGGUGACAAACCGGAGGAAGGUGGGGAUGACGUCAAGUCCUCAUGGCCCUUAUGGGUAGGGCUUCACACGUCAUACAAUGGUCGGAACAGAGGGUUGCCAACCCGCGAGGGGGAGCUAAUCCCAGAAAACCGAUCGUAGUCCGGAUUGCACUCUGCAACUCGAGUGCAUGAAGCUGGAAUCGCUAGUAAUCGCGGAUCAGCAUGCCGCGGUGAAUACG
RNAcentral lists this ribosomal RNA (350 nucleotides) under Burkholderia sp. 125S. RNAcentral describes it as "bacterial SSU rRNA". It matches the Rfam family "Bacterial small subunit ribosomal RNA", at positions 1014 to 1370 of the family's 1533-position model. Lineage: Bacteria; Pseudomonadati; Pseudomonadota; Betaproteobacteria; Burkholderiales; Burkholderiaceae. The record is from RNAcentral.